CCCUACGGGGGGCAGCAGUGGGGAAUAUUGGACAAUGGGGGGAACCCUGAUCCAGCGACGCCGCGUGAGUGAAGAAGUAUUUCGGUAUGUAAAGCUCUAUCAGCAGGGAAGAAAAUGACGGUACCUGACUAAGAAGCCCCGGCUAACUACGUGCCAGCAGCCGCGGUAAUACGUAGGGGGCAAGCGCUAUCCGGAUUUACUGGGUGUAAAGGGAGCGUAGACGGUGCAGCAAGUCUGAUGUGAAAGGUCGGGGCCCAACCCCGGAACUGCUUUGGAAACUGUGCGGCUCGAGUGCGGGAGAGGUA
This 305-nucleotide ribosomal RNA is filed under the name uncultured bacterium. RNAcentral's name for it is "bacterial SSU rRNA". It matches the Rfam family "Bacterial small subunit ribosomal RNA", at positions 337 to 659 of the family's 1533-position model. The record is from RNAcentral.